AUUGAACGCUGGCGGCAGGCCUAACACAUGCAAGUCGAGCGGAUGAAGGGAGCUUGCUCCUGGAUUCAGCGGCGGACGGGUGAGUAAUGCCUAGGAAUCUGCCUUGUAGUGGGGGAUAACGUCCGGAAACGGGCGCUAAUACCGCAUACGUCCUGAGGGAGAAAGUGGGGGAUCUUCGGACCUCACGCUAUCAGAUGAGCCUAGGUCGGAUUAGCUAGUUGGUGGGGUAAAGGCCUACCAAGGCGACGAUCCGUAACUGGUCUGAGAGGAUGAUCAGUCACACUGGAACUGAGACACGGUCCAGACUCCUACGGGAGGCAGCAGUGGGGAAUAUUGGACAAUGGGCGAAAGCCUGAUCCAGCCAUGCCGCGUGUGUGAAGAAGGUCUUCGGAUUGUAAAGCACUUUAAGUUGGGAGGAAGGGCAGUAAGUUAAUACCUUGCUGUUUUGACGUUACCAAAAGAAUAAGCACCGGCUAACUUCGUG
This 484-nucleotide ribosomal RNA is filed under the name uncultured bacterium. Its description in RNAcentral is "partial 16S ribosomal RNA". It matches the Rfam family "Bacterial small subunit ribosomal RNA", at positions 30 to 507 of the family's 1533-position model. The record is from RNAcentral.